Molecule: ribosomal RNA, 253 nt
Filed under: uncultured bacterium
Lineage: Bacteria
Description: partial 16S ribosomal RNA
Rfam family: Bacterial small subunit ribosomal RNA
Source: RNAcentral
UACGGGGGGGGCAAGCGUUGUUCGGAAUUACUGGGCGUAAAGGGCUCGUAGGCGGCCAACUAAGUCAUACGUGAAAUCCCUCGGCUUAACCGGGGAACUGCGUAUGAUACUGGAUGGCUUGAGUUCGGGAGAGGGAUGCGGAAUUCCAGGUGUAGCGGUGAAAUGCGUAGAUAUCUGGAGGAACACCGGUGGCGAAGGCGGCAUCCUGGACCGAUACUGACGCUGAGGAGCGAAAGCCAGGGGAGCAAACGGG